This 814-nucleotide ribosomal RNA is filed under the name Opiliones sp. NZAC 03010720. RNAcentral describes it as "eukaryotic LSU rRNA". It matches the Rfam family "Eukaryotic large subunit ribosomal RNA", at positions 396 to 944 of the family's 3401-position model. The record is from RNAcentral. Lineage: Eukaryota; Metazoa; Arthropoda; Arachnida; Opiliones.
UGCGUGAAACCGUUUAGAGGUAAACGGGUGGGCCCUCGAAGGUGAUCGUCGGAGGGAUUCAGUCGGACGUGACCGUAAGCGUCGUUCGUCUCUAACGGUGCGGACCUCGGUCGGCCGGGCGGGCGAAGGCUGCGGGCCGUUUGGCGCAUUUCCUUCCGUUCGAACUACGCUGCGACCAGUCUGGUCACUGAAAGUUGUCGUCCUUGAAAACGGGCGCUGGAAGGUGGCCGGCGGCGUCUCUCGGGAUGCCGUCGGUGUUUAUAGCCGGCUCGUUUCACGAGUGAGCGUUCAUCAGACUGGGGACGAUUCUAGCCCUGUGCGGGCUACGCCGAGCACUCCGUUUACGGAGCGUUGCGGGGUGACUGGAUGUGCCUGCGGUCGGGAGUUUCACCUUUGUGUGGGCUACCGCCGUAGGUCUCCGUAAGCUCAUUCCGUACUCGCCGUUGCUCAGGUGGUCAGCAGCGAGUAGGUCGGUAACCCACCCGACCCGUCUUGAAACACGGACCAAGGAGUCUAACAUGUGCGCGAGUCAUUGGGUCUUGAAUAGGCCCAAAGGCGUAAUGAAAGUGAAGGGCGGUUCGGCCGUCUGCCUUGGGAUCCCGUGAACCUCGCGUUCGCGGGCGCACCAAGGGCCCGUCCCGGUCGCCUCGUCGACGGGGCGGAGCAAGAGCGUACACGUUGGGACCCGAAAGAUGGUGAACUAUGCCUGGGCAGGACGAWGCCAGAGGAAACUCUGGUGGAGGUCCGCAGCGAUUCUGACGUGCAAAUCGAUCGUCAGACCUGGGUAUAGGGGCGAAAGACUAAUCGAACCAUC